RNAcentral lists this ribosomal RNA (469 nucleotides) under uncultured bacterium. Its description in RNAcentral is "partial 16S ribosomal RNA". It matches the Rfam family "Bacterial small subunit ribosomal RNA", at positions 28 to 507 of the family's 1533-position model. The record is from RNAcentral.
GACGAACGCUGGCGGCGUGCUUAACACAUGCAAGUCGAACGGAAAGGCCCUGCUUGCAGGGUGCUCGAGUGGCGAACGGGUGAGUAACACGUGGGUGAUCUGCCCCUUACUUUGGGAUAAGCCUGGGAAACUGGGUCUAAUACUGGAUAGGACCAUGCUGUAGGUGGUGUGGUGGAAAGAUUAGUUUCGGUAAGGGAUGAGCUCGCGGCCUAUCAGCUUGUUGGUGGGGUAAUGGCCUACCAAGGCGUCGACGGGUAGCCGGCCUGAGAGGGUGGACGGCCACAUUGGGACUGCGAUACGGCCCAGACUCCUACGGGAGGCAGCAGUGGGGAAUAUUGCACAAUGGGCGCAAGCCUGAUGCAGCGACGCCGCGUGGGGGGUGACGGCCUUCGGGUUGUAAACUCCUUUCAGCCAUGACGAAGCCCUUGUGGUGACGGUAGUGGUAGAAGAAGCACCGGCUAACUACGUG